GAUGAACGCUAGCGGGAGGCCUAACACAUGCAAGCCGAGCGGUAGAGAUCUUUCGGGAUCUUGAGAGCGGCGUACGGGUGCGGAACACGUGUGCAACCUGCCUUUAUCUGGGGGAUAGCCUUUCGAAAGGAAGAUUAAUACCCCAUAAUAUGUUGGAUGGCAUCAUUCGACAUUGAAAACUCCGGUGGAUAGAGAUGGGCACGCGCAAGAUUAGAUAGUUGGUGAGGUAACGGCUCACCAAGUCUGCGAUCUUUAGGGGGCCUGAGAGGGUGAUCCCCCACACUGGUACUGAGACACGGACCAGACUCCUACGGGAGGCAGCAGUGAGGAAUAUUGGACAAUGGGUGAGAGCCUGAUCCAGCCAUCCCGCGUGAAGGACGACGGCCCUAUGGGUUGUAAACUUCUUUUGUAUAGGGAUAAACCUACUCUCGUGAGAGUAGCUGAAGGUACUAUACGAAUAAGCACCGGCUAACUCCGUGCCAGCAGCCGCGGUAAUACGGAGGGUGCAAGCGUUAUCCGGAUUUAUUGGGUUUAAAGGGUCCGUAGGCGGAUCUGUAAGUCAGUGGUGAAAUCUCACAGCUUAACUGUGAAACUGCCAUUGAUACUGCAGGUCUUGAGUGUUGUUGAAGUAGCUGGAAUAAGUAGUGUAGCGGUGAAAUGCAUAGAUAUUACUUAGAACACCAAUUGCGAAGGCAGGUUACUAAGCAACAACUGACGCUGAUGGACGAAAGCGUGGGGAGCGAACAGGAUUAGAUACCCUGGUAGUCCACGCCGUAAACGAUGCUAACUCGUUUUUGGGCUUUCGGGUUCAGAGACUAAGCGAAAGUGAUAAGUUAGCCACCUGGGGAGUACGAACGCAAGUUUGAAACUCAAAGGAAUUGACGGGGGCCCGCACAAGCGGUGGAUUAUGUGGUUUAAUUCGAUGAUACGCGAGGAACCUUACCAAGGCUUAAAUGGGAAAUGACAGGUUUAGAAAUAGACUUUUCUUCGGACAUUUUUCAAGGUGCUGCAUGGUUGUCGUCAGCUCGUGCCGUGAGGUGUUAGGUUAAGUCCUGCAACGAGCGCAACCCCUGUCACUAGUUGCCAUCAUUAAGUUGGGGACUCUAGUGAGACUGCCUACGCAAGUAGAGAGGAAGGUGGGGAUGACGUCAAAUCAUCACGGCCCUUACGCCUUGGGCCACACACGUAAUACAAUGGCCGGUACAGAGGGCAGCUACACAGCGAUGUGAUGCAAAUCUCGAAAGCCGGUCUCAGUUCGGAUUGGAGUCUGCAACUCGACUCUAUGAAGCUGGAAUCGCUAGUAAUCGCGCAUCAGCCGUGGCGCGGUGAAUACGUUCCCGGGCCU
This 1345-nucleotide ribosomal RNA is filed under the name uncultured bacterium. Its description in RNAcentral is "bacterial SSU rRNA". It matches the Rfam family "Bacterial small subunit ribosomal RNA", at positions 28 to 1381 of the family's 1533-position model. The record is from RNAcentral.